CUACUCAGGCACACCCAGAAGUGUGCUCGACCCAUCACCUAGACUGCUUCCAAGGUAAUUUGACAAAAGGAAACUUCACCUCCAUACCAUGAGGACACAAAAUAUGGAGAAAUGAUCUUCGGGCACUGUUACUUCUGCCAAUUAUUUGUAUGGAAACAUUACUGGAAAGUUGGAAGGCAGCUUGGGCUGGAAGCCAUUCUAUGUGUGAAGUGGUCCCAACUCUUGGAUCCCCCUGAGCAAAUUUCUGGGGAGGUCCACAAACAGGACUUGGAGGCCAAGAAUAAUGCUUUGAAGUACUUAAUUACACAAGUAAAAGCCAAUCCUUGGAGGACAGUACACUUGGGAGAUUUCCAAAGGGGCAGGGCAUCUAGGAGUUUUCUCCCAUUUCUCCAGUCUAGAUCAAAAGCCAUAAUGAGAAAGUCAACAUGGCAGGAAUACAGACAUUCAACAAGAACUACAGGCAGUGUCUAGAAAUGGAAGGCAGCCUCUAGUUAAGAGUGUUCUCCAGGGAAUCAGUGCAAUAUUAAAAAAGAGAACACAUUCUUCCAUCAACCAGAGUUAGAAGAAAGGAGAUCUUCCACCAUUCAUGUCUCCAGGUGUAAUCACAGCCUUGCUAAGCUAUGCUCAGAUUCUUGGACUGAGGAAACUGACAAAAGAAAAUGGAAUGAAAAUAGAGAGCACACUAAGAAUGAGAGAAAGGAGCCCAUGGACAGAAGUGAAAGGAUCAGAGAAGGUCCUAAGGGAGAAAAAGGUGCUUCAAGCCCAUGACAUGCUGGUAUUGAAUUGCCUCAAAGAAACACAUUAUUUUGUUCAUUUACAAAAACUAGUACAUGUAAUAAUAAUGACAAAAUAUAUAUUACACAUGGCAUAAAAAUGCACUCCAUCAUUCUGAGCAACUUUGUA
Chinchilla lanigera (long-tailed chinchilla) is the source of this 903-nucleotide long non-coding RNA. RefSeq lists it as uncharacterized. The transcript has 4 exons. NCBI's taxonomy places the organism in Eukaryota, Metazoa, Chordata, Mammalia, Rodentia, Chinchillidae. The record is from RefSeq and is a predicted model, not a curated record.